RNAcentral lists this ribosomal RNA (253 nucleotides) under uncultured bacterium. RNAcentral's name for it is "partial 16S ribosomal RNA". It matches the Rfam family "Bacterial small subunit ribosomal RNA", at positions 524 to 776 of the family's 1533-position model. The record is from RNAcentral.
UACAGAGGUGGCAAGCGUUGUUCGGAAUUACUGGGCGUAAAGGGCGCGUAGGCGGUUCGUUAAGUCCUGUGUGAAAUCCCACGGCUUAACCGUGGAACUGCUUGGUAUACUGGCGGUCUUGAGCCAGCUAGGGGCUACCGGAACAAAUGGUGGGGCGGUGAAAUGCGUAGAUAUCAUUUGGAACGCCAAUGGUGAAAACAGGUAGCUGGGGCUGUGCUGACACUGAGACACGAAAGCCAGGGGAGCAAACGGG